GACGAACGCUGGCGACGUGCUUAACACAUGCAAGUCGAACGGAAAGGCCCUGCUUUUGUGGGGUGCUCGAGUGGCGAACGGGUGAGUAACACGUGAGUAACCUGCCCUUGACUUUGGGAUAACUUCAGGAAACUGGGGCUAAUACCGGAUAGGAGCUCCUGCUGCAUGGUGGGGGUUGGAAAGUUUCGGCGGUUGGGGAUGGACUCGCGGCUUAUCAGCUUGUUGGUGGGGUAGUGGCUUACCAAGGCUUUGACGGGUAGCCGGCCUGAGAGGGUGACCGGCCACAUUGGGACUGAGAUACGGCCCAGACUCCUACGGGAGGCAGCAGUGGGGAAUAUUGCACAAUGGGCGGAAGCCUGAUGCAGCAACGCCGCGUGCGGGAUGAGGGCCUUCGGGUUGUAAACCGCUUUCGCCUGUGACGAAGCGUGAGUGACGGUAAUGGGUAAAGAAGCACCGGCUAACUACGUG
This 468-nucleotide ribosomal RNA is filed under the name uncultured bacterium. RNAcentral's name for it is "partial 16S ribosomal RNA". It matches the Rfam family "Bacterial small subunit ribosomal RNA", at positions 28 to 507 of the family's 1533-position model. The record is from RNAcentral.